This 361-nucleotide transfer RNA is filed under the name uncultured Microcystis sp. RNAcentral's name for it is "partial 16S-23S ribosomal RNA intergenic spacer". The stretch from base 136 to 209 matches the Rfam family "tRNA". Lineage: Bacteria; Bacillati; Cyanobacteriota; Cyanophyceae; Chroococcales; Microcystaceae. The record is from RNAcentral.
AAAGGGAGACCUAAUUCCAGUAGGAGACGAAAAAAAAGUAGUCCCUACCAAGAAUCAAUCCCAAAAGGUCGGAGCGAGGCAAAAUUGGCUUUCAAACUAGGUUCUGGGUUCACACAAGACCUGAAUCAGGAACAAGGGCUAUUAGCUCAGGUGGUUAGAGCGCACCCCUGAUAAGGGUGAGGUCCCUGGUUCGGGUCCAGGAUGGCCCACCUGCACAGGUGGAAGAAAGAAAAGAAGCUCCGAAUCAGCACCUUAUCUUACUUAUAUAGUAAGAGAGAAUGCUGGCUCUGAGUACAGAGUCCAGAGGAACCUUGAAAACUGCAUAGAGCUAGGUGAAAAAGCCAAAAAAGAAGACCGCAAG